This 442-nucleotide ribosomal RNA is filed under the name uncultured bacterium. Its description in RNAcentral is "bacterial SSU rRNA". It matches the Rfam family "Bacterial small subunit ribosomal RNA", at positions 29 to 516 of the family's 1533-position model. The record is from RNAcentral.
AACGAACGCUGGCGGCAUGCCUAACACAUGCAAGUCGAACGAAGCCUUCGGGCUUAGUGGCGCACGGGUGCGUAACGCGUGGGAAUCUGCCCUUGGGUUCGGAAUAACAGUUAGAAAUGACUGCUAAUACCGAAUGAUGUCUUCGGACCAAAGAUUUAUCGCCCAAGGAUGAGCCCGCGUCGGAUUAGCUAGUUGGUGAGGUAAAGGCUCACCAAGGCGACGAUCCGUAGCUGGUCUGAGAGGAUGAUCAGCCACACUGGGACUGAGACACGGCCCAGACUCCUACGGGAGGCAGCAGUGGGGAAUAUUGGACAAUGGGCGAAAGCCUGAUCCAGCAAUGCCGCGUGAGUGAUGAAGCCUUAGGGUUGUAAAGACUCUUUUACCCGGGAUGAUAAUGACAGUACCGGGAGAAUAAGCCCCGGCUAACUCCGUGCCAGCAGCC